RNAcentral lists this ribosomal RNA (253 nucleotides) under uncultured bacterium. Its description in RNAcentral is "partial 16S ribosomal RNA". It matches the Rfam family "Bacterial small subunit ribosomal RNA", at positions 524 to 776 of the family's 1533-position model. The record is from RNAcentral.
UACGUAGGGGGCAAGCGUUAUCCGGAUUUACUGGGUGUAAAGGGAGCGUAGACGGCAGUGCAAGUCUGAAGUGAAAGGCGGGGGCCCAACCCCCGGACUGCUUUGGAAACUGUGCUGCUGGAGUGCAGGAGAGGCAAGCGGAAUUCCUAGUGUAGCGGUGAAAUGCGUAGAUAUUAGGAGGAACACCAGUGGCGAAGGCGGCUUGCUGGACUGUAACUGACGUUGAGGCUCGAAAGCGUGGGGAGCAAACAGG